RNAcentral lists this ribosomal RNA (372 nucleotides) under uncultured organism. RNAcentral describes it as "bacterial SSU rRNA". It matches the Rfam family "Bacterial small subunit ribosomal RNA", at positions 526 to 896 of the family's 1533-position model. The record is from RNAcentral.
CGUAGGGUGCGAGCGCUAAUCGGAAUUACUGGGCGUAAAGCGUGCGCAGGCGGUUUGUUAAGAUAGGCGUGAAAUCCCCGGGCUCAACCUGGGAACUGCGCUUAUGACUGGCAAGCUAGAGUACGGCAGAGGGGGGUGGAAUUCCACGUGUAGCAGUGAAAUGCGUAGAGAUGUGGAGGAACACCAAUGGCGAAGGCAGCCCCCUGGGUCGAUACUGACGCUCAUGCACGAAAGCGUGGGUAGCAAACAGGAUUAGAUACCCUGGUAGUCCACGCCCUAAACGAUGUCAACUAGGUGUUGGGAGGGUAAAACCUUUUAGUACCGGAGCUAACGCGUGAAGUUGACCGCCUGGGGAGUACGGCCGCAAGGUUA